AUAACCAUAUUAGUAUUAGUUAUGAUCUUGAAAUUGAAAAGAUUUGGCGGUAAUUUAGUCUUUUCAGAGGAGCCUGUUCUGUAAUCGAUGAUCCACGAUGGAUUUUACUUAAAGUUUAGCUUGUAUAUCUCUGUCAUUGAGUGUUUUAUUAGAAUUAUUUUCUUUAAAUAUUAAUUUAUAUAAUGUCAGGUCAAGGUGCAACAAUAUUUAAGGUUGAAAUGGGCUACAUUUAAUGGUAUUUAUUAGUAUAUUUGUUGGAAUAUAAUUAUUAAAUAGGAUUUGAAAGUAAU
Molecule: ribosomal RNA, 290 nt
Filed under: Mozena arizonensis
Lineage: Eukaryota; Metazoa; Arthropoda; Insecta; Hemiptera; Coreidae
Description: partial small subunit ribosomal RNA
Source: RNAcentral